Molecule: unclassified non-coding RNA, 200 nt
Filed under: soil metagenome
Description: partial contains internal transcribed spacer 2 and large subunit ribosomal RNA
Source: RNAcentral
UGUUCGAGCGUCAUUUAAACACUCAAGCUCUGCUUGGUUUUGGGCUCGGGUCCUAAGGAGACCCGCCCGCAACUCGUUGGUGGUCGGUUCCGGCUCCGAGCGUAGCAAAACCUCUCGCUCUCGAGACGGCGCCUUCCCGCCCGGAAAGCUCAUCUCUAAAGUUUGACCUCGGAUCAGGUAGGGAUACCCGCUGAACUUAA